GACGAACGCUGGCGGCGCGCUUAACACAUGCAAGUCGAACGGAAGGGCCUGCUUUCCCUUGUGGAUUGCGGGUACUCGAGUGGCGAACGGGUGAGUAACACGUGAGUGAUCUGCCCCCAACUUGGGUAUAAGCCUGGGAAACUGGGUCUAAUUCCCGAUAGGACUGCAGGGUGGUGCCUGUGGUGGAAAACGAUUUUCUAGUGGUUGGGGAUGAGCUCGCGGCCUAUCAGCUUGUUGGUGGGGUAAUGGCCUACCAAGGCGGCGACGGGUAGCCGGCCUGGGAGGGUGGACGGCCACAUUGGGACUGAGAUACGGCCCAGACUCCUACGGGAGGCAGCAGUGGGGAAUAUUGCACAAUGGGCGGAAGCCUGAUGCAGCGACGCCGCGUGGGGGAUGACGGCCUUCGGGUUGUAAACUCCUUUCGACCGCGAGGAAGCCACCUGGUUGGAAGGGUGGUGACGGUAGUGGUAGAAGAAGCACCGGCUAACUACGUG
Molecule: ribosomal RNA, 494 nt
Filed under: uncultured bacterium
Lineage: Bacteria
Description: partial 16S ribosomal RNA
Rfam family: Bacterial small subunit ribosomal RNA
Source: RNAcentral